AGCAGCCGCGGUAAUUCCAGCUCCAAUAGCGUAUAUUAAAGUUGUUGCAGUUAAAAAGCUCGUAGUUGAAUUUCGGGGUUAGUAGAUUGGUCAUGCCACUGGUAUGUACUUGUCUUACUGAUUCCUCCUUCCUGAUGAACCGUAAUGCCAUUAACUUGGUGUUGCGGGGAGACUGGAACUGUUACUUUGAAAAAAUUAGAGUGUUUAAAGCAGGCUAACGCUUGAAUACAUUAGCAUGGAAUAAUGAAAUAGGACGUUCGAUCCUAUUUUGUUGGUUUCUAGGAUUGACGUAAUGAUUAAUAGGGAUAGUUGGGGGCAUUAGUAUUCAAUUGUCAGAGGUGAAAUUCUUGGAUUUAUUGAAGACUAACUACUGCGAAAGCAUUUGCCAAGGAUGUUUUCAUUAAUCAAGAACGAAAGUUAGGGGAUCGAAGACGAUCAGAUACCGUCGUA
This 450-nucleotide ribosomal RNA is filed under the name uncultured Glomeromycotina. Its description in RNAcentral is "SSU rRNA". It matches the Rfam family "Eukaryotic small subunit ribosomal RNA", at positions 569 to 1022 of the family's 1831-position model. The record is from RNAcentral. Lineage: Eukaryota; Fungi; Glomeromycota.